GCUAGCGAUAAUUUAAAGGGUAAAAAAAUUUAAUUUCAUAGUCGUAGGCUAGACAUUAAAAAUGAGAAUUCGAAUUUCUCUCCUGGCG
RNAcentral lists this transfer RNA (88 nucleotides) under Ceratocystis fimbriata. Its description in RNAcentral is "tRNA-Met". Lineage: Eukaryota; Fungi; Ascomycota; Sordariomycetes; Microascales; Ceratocystidaceae. RNAcentral also lists the same sequence under 1 other name. The record is from RNAcentral.